This 496-nucleotide ribosomal RNA is filed under the name uncultured bacterium. Its description in RNAcentral is "partial 16S ribosomal RNA". It matches the Rfam family "Bacterial small subunit ribosomal RNA", at positions 28 to 506 of the family's 1533-position model. The record is from RNAcentral.
GAUGAACGCUGGCGGCGUGCCUAAUACAUGCAAGUCGAGCGCACAGACGAGGAGCUUGCUCCUUUGACGUUAGCGGCGGACGGGUGAGUAGCACGUGGGUAACCUACCUAUAAGACUGGGAUAACUUCGGGAAGCCGGAGCUAAUACCGUAUAAUAAGUCGAACCACAUGAUUCGAUAGUGAAAUACGGCUUUACUAUUACUUAUAGAUGGACCUGCGCCGUAUUAGAUAGUUGGUAAGGUGACGGCUUACCAAGGCAACGACACGUAGCCGACCUGAGAGUGUGAUGGGACACACUGGAAGUGAGACGCGGCCCAGACCCCCAGGGGAGGGAGGAGUGGAGAAUCUGCCGAAAGAGGGGAGAGCCUGAGGGCGAAACGCCGUGAGAGUGAUGAAGGUCUUCGGAGCGUAACACUCUGUUAUUAGGGAAGCACAAACGUGUAAGUAACUGUGACCCUCUUGACGGUACCUACUCAGAAGACAACGGCUAACUACGG